UGGGGAAUUUUGGACAAUGGGGGAAACCCUGAUCCAGCCAUCCCGCGUGUGCGAUGAAGGCCUUCGGGUUGUAAAGCACUUUUGGCAGGAAAGAAACGUCAUGGGUUAAUACCCCGUGAAACUGACGGUAUCUGCAGAAUAAGCACCGGCUAACUACGUGCCAGCAGCCGCGGUAAUACGUAGGGUGCAAGCGUUAAUCGGAAUUACUGGGCGUAAAGCGGGCGCAGGCGGUUCGGAAAGAAAGAUGUGAAAUCCCAGAGCUCAACUUUGGAACUGCAUUUUUAACUACCGGGCUGGAGUGUGUCAGAGGGAGGUGGAAUUCCGCGUGUAGCAGUGAAAUGCGUAGAUAUGCGGAGGAACACCGAUGGCGAAGGCAGCCUCCUGGGAUAACACUGACGCUCAUGCACGAAAGCGUGGGGAGCAAACAGG
This 429-nucleotide ribosomal RNA is filed under the name Acidobacteriota bacterium. RNAcentral describes it as "Acidobacteria bacterium partial 16S ribosomal RNA". It matches the Rfam family "Bacterial small subunit ribosomal RNA", at positions 355 to 776 of the family's 1533-position model. Lineage: Bacteria; Pseudomonadati; Acidobacteriota. The record is from RNAcentral.